GAUGAACGCUGGCGGCGUGCCUAAUACAUGCAAGUCGAACGAAGAUCUAGCUUGCUAGAUCUUAGUGGCGAACGGGUGAGUAAUACAUAAAUAAUCUGCCCAUAUGACUGGGAUAACUAUUGGAAACGAUAGCUAAUACCGGAUAGGUUGAUUGGAGGCAUCUCUGAUUAAUUAAAGUAGGAUUUCUACACAAAUGGAUGAGUUUAUGGCGCAUUAGUUAGUUGGUGGGGUAACGGCCUACCAAGACGAUGAUGCGUAGCCGACCUGAGAGGGUGACCGGCCACACUGGGACUGAGACACGGCCCAGACUCCUACGGGAGGCAGCAGUAGGGAAUUUUCGGCAAUGGGCGCAAGCCUGACCGAGCAAUGCCGCGUGAGCGAUUAAGGCCUUCGGGUUGUAAAGCUCUGUUGUAAGGGAAGAACAUUCAGGAUAGGAAAUGAUCUUGAACUGACGGUACCUUACCAGAAAGCCACGGCUAACUACGUGCCAGCAGCCGCCGUAA
RNAcentral lists this ribosomal RNA (503 nucleotides) under uncultured bacterium. RNAcentral describes it as "partial 16S ribosomal RNA". It matches the Rfam family "Bacterial small subunit ribosomal RNA", at positions 28 to 523 of the family's 1533-position model. The record is from RNAcentral.